GAUCUGAAAUUAUUAAAUAAGAAAUGAGCUACGCUAUCCCAGUAAGAAUAUCACGCUAUUCAACGACAUAGAAAUAAAGGUUGGUAGAAAAAUCAAAACAACUAAUGGAACUCUUAAUUAAACAAAUUCAUUUAUCAUAAACAAAAUCCUUUGCCAUCUAUUUACCGUAGUGAGAUUUACAAAACAACUUAUAGAGAUAAUAACAUAACUCAAAUAAUGAUUUCAUAUGCAAUCGAUUUGAAUAAC
This 246-nucleotide long non-coding RNA is filed under the name Carica papaya (papaya). RNAcentral's name for it is "long non-coding RNA (CPAP_LNC000065)". The record is from RNAcentral. Lineage: Eukaryota; Viridiplantae; Streptophyta; Magnoliopsida; Brassicales; Caricaceae.